GGUCGGUUGACCGAGUGGCUAGGUAGCGGUCUGCAAAACCGUGUACGGCGGUUCGACUCCGCCACCGACCU
Molecule: transfer RNA, 71 nt
Filed under: Bacteroidota bacterium
Lineage: Bacteria; Pseudomonadati; Bacteroidota
Also listed under: 2 other names
Description: Bacteroidetes bacterium (anaerobic digester metagenome) tRNA-Cys
Rfam family: tRNA
About the family: Transfer RNA (tRNA) molecules are approximately 80 nucleotides in length. Their secondary structure includes four short double-helical elements and three loops (D, anti-codon, and T loops).
Source: RNAcentral